GCGCUAUUGGUGCAAUGGUUAGCAUUGCUGGUAUUUAUAUCUUUCUGGUCCCCGCUCCCAAACCGGUGCUAAUCUCGUCGCCAGCCUUCCAUCGAUCGGUCGUGUAAGCAGCAGGUUCGGGUUCGAUUCCCGAAUAGCGCA
Molecule: transfer RNA, 141 nt
Filed under: Friedmanniomyces endolithicus
Lineage: Eukaryota; Fungi; Ascomycota; Dothideomycetes; Mycosphaerellales; Teratosphaeriaceae
Description: tRNA-Lys
Source: RNAcentral